UUAUCGGAGAGUUUGAUCCUGGCUCAGGACGAACGCUGGCGGCGUGCCUAAUACAUGCAAGUCGAGCGGACAGAUGGGAGCUUGCUCCCUGAUGUUAGCGGCGGACGGGUGAGUAACACGUGGGUAACCUGCCUGUAAGACUGGGAUAACUCCGGGAAACCGGGGCUAAUACCGGAUGCUUGUUUGAACCGCAUGGUUCAAACAUAAAAGGUGGCUUC
RNAcentral lists this ribosomal RNA (218 nucleotides) under Bacillus spizizenii. Its description in RNAcentral is "partial 16S ribosomal RNA". It matches the Rfam family "Bacterial small subunit ribosomal RNA", at positions 1 to 215 of the family's 1533-position model. The record is from RNAcentral. Lineage: Bacteria; Bacillati; Bacillota; Bacilli; Caryophanales; Bacillaceae. RNAcentral also lists the same sequence under 2 other names.